GUUUAUGUAGCUUAACCGCCUAAAGCAAAACACUGAAAAUGUAAAGAUGGGCUCGCCCGCCCCAUAAACA
This is a non-coding RNA of Nomascus siki (southern white-cheeked gibbon), 70 nucleotides long. NCBI's taxonomy places the organism in Eukaryota, Metazoa, Chordata, Mammalia, Primates, Hylobatidae. The record is from Rfam.